AUUUCACAGAACUUUCACCACGACAAAUUCUUGCAUACAAACGACAACAAGUUCACAGAUUUUUCAUCACGACAAAUUCAAGCAUAGAUAAGACACCAAGUGCAUUCAUAAGACACCAAAUUCAAGACAACCUAAGAAGUUUUUACUACGACACCAAGUUCAUGCAUACAAACGCCACCUAGUUCAUGCACUUCCAAACAAGAAGCUCAGUUCCUCCUUCCUCUCUUCACAAUGGUUGCAAGUGUAGGCUCCUCCUCUUCGCUAGCCUCCUCCUCCUCUUUGUUGUAUGCCUCCUCCUCCGCCUCAAUGUUGGUCUUAUAUCUUUGCAUUCCUCUUGGGAUAAGCUGAUGAGGAUACUCUGGACUAUGGAAUUGUGUGUUCCAUGUCUUCUUUCUACCUUUCUUGCAUGGUGUCUUAGCUAUGGUUUUGCCUUUCCUAGAGCGAGCAUUGCCUUGUGUCGGUUGUGUAACCUGUGAUGGUUGUGGAGCAUCA
Molecule: long non-coding RNA, 492 nt
Filed under: Triticum aestivum (bread wheat)
Lineage: Eukaryota; Viridiplantae; Streptophyta; Magnoliopsida; Poales; Poaceae
Description: long non-coding RNA (TAES_LNC009918)
Source: RNAcentral